CUCUACUCCUAAUGUCUCAGUUGGUAGUCUCCGUUUCGGGUUUAUUUUCGUCCCACCAUUUUCGUCCGGUUUUUUUUACUGGUUUUUUUCAUCGGUUUUCUCGUCCCUUCCCCGCACGUAGCAAAAAAAUAGCCAGCGAGGCUCCCCUCGAUCUAUGUAUUCUAUCCUACAAUCUCUCAAAGACGCCCCAGCCCCCAAUACGAGCCGCCGCCGAGAUCCAAGACGAGCCACCGCCGAGAUACGAGUCGAUCCGCCGCCGCCGAGGACCAAGUGGAGCCGCCGCCGGCGCUGGCCAGGCUCCCCACGAUGUGCACGCCGGGGCGCCGCUCCCGCUCCCACAGCCGAGCAUAGCAGCAGCGGCGGAGCCCUGCCACCGGCGAGCUCUCUCUGGCGGAGGAGGGCGGGGGCGAGCUCGCCGUCUCCCUCGCGCUCAACAAUCUCUUCUCCCACGCCGUCGCCCGCUUCACGGCCUACUUCGGCCUCAUGCCGCCAUGCCUCCACUGCUCCCGCAUCGACCGGCACUUCGGCGCGGAGGACGUCCAUCAGGCGGCGGGCGAGAUCUCCGGGAUGGGCCACUGCCUCCACCAUCACCGCCUCUUCGUUGCCGCCGCCGCCGACAUGUGCGAGGGAUGCCUCUCUUCUUCAAAGAACGAGAUGAAUGAAGGAUGCAGAGGAGACAGGCUCCAUGGCGUGUUCCUGCUGUAAAGCUCUCGACCUCUCGUACAGGGCCCACCUCCGAGCUAGCCGAUGCUUAGUAUACCAGUGUUCUACUGCAUCCGGUGCGACCUCAAAGAAUACCUUCGUCUAGCUGACCGUUGAGCACCUUAGGGACGACGAGGUGCAGUGCCUGGGGUGUAAGCAGUUCAACUACACAAUGAAGUGAGUGAAGGGGUUAAGACGGUUGCGUUGUGCGUGCGCUGCUUGCUUGCUGGUGAGUGUCGCCUCUGUGACUAGGUGUUCUUUGUUGUCUAUGCCCUCUGUAGUUUAAGGUGUUUGUUCUUUUAUGCAAUGCACGCUCGCCCAAAGUAUGUAUGAUCUUUACCAUAGUACAUUAGCUAGCUAUAGGAGAUGACAUCUUUGUGCUUUUCUUCUUCCUGAACACGCAUAUGGAUGUUUGUGCAUUGGAACGGCAUGUCUUUCGGAUCAACUGUUCCCUGCUCCGACUUCGCCUUUUAAUUUGACUGAAUAUCUACUUACGCUCUCCAAUAUUGUUCCUGUGAGUUUCUUUAAAACCUAUUUGUGCACCCAGCUAGAUCAUACAGUUGUUAAUGUAUGGAGUUUUUUAUUGGGUCUGUUUAUCUCAGGGCUCUGACGCGCCGAUUUUGUUUAGACAAUUUUUAGUAUUUACUCCAGGGAAUACUCUUUAUAUUGUUCAAUCUCGGUGUAGGUCUAAUUUCUCGGAAACAGUUUCAGUCAAUGCUGGGCCGAAACCUCUUAAACUCAUUAAGUAGCGUUCUUCCUUUGUUGAAAUCUCAUUUCAUUGACGAUGUAUUGCGCUGCGUGUUGGUUAAGAUGAAGCAAGGAGAAAACCAUUGACGAUGUAUUGUGAUGCAAGUUUCAUUCAACUUGUUGGACAGUUGUACACGUAUGUGUUUUUUCAAGCCCACUGAUUUCAGCCUCUCCGUCUCCUUCAAGCCGAUGAGAAGUUCAGGGAUAUUCCUGGGAGUGCCUAUUAUGUGGCUCCGGAGGUGCUGAAGCGGAGAUAUGGAGCCGAUAAUUGCAUAUGGAGUGCUGGAGUUAUACUCUACAUUCUGCUGUCUGGCAUUCCUCCUUUUUGGGCAGCAGGGCAGAUCCUCCUGUGAAGCAUAAAUUUCAUUGUAUCCAAGGAGAUAUCUAAUGCUGAAAACAUGGGACUCAAAAUGUAUAGAGAGUCGGAGACACUGCUAAACUGUCAUUUAUGGGUGUCUACCAAAUUCACUAUCAACCACUGUUGUAGGACCGACGGAGUACCUUUGUGAAGCUGGUAUAUCUUUCUUUUACAAGAUAUGGUUGCACUUGCUUCAUCUACAUAGGCUGUCUGGAAUGCCAUGAGGCCGGGAUUGGUGUAGGAAAUCUUCAAAGCUAUUAUAUUGGUCUCAAGAAACUUGCAAUACAUCAAUGCAUUAUGAUUCUCCAUGGUCAUGCUUCUCCUGUUCACCUGGAAGUUUAUUGAUGGGAGGGAAGCCACUUCUGCUUUGAUGAUUUCUUGGAAGUUCAGCUAGGUGAAUUUACAAUACAAGUCAGAUUAUUUGCGAGAGAAUUUCAUUCCCUAGAAUCAUUGUCAUUCUUGUUGCCUACAAGGUACUUGAAGAAAAUGCCCGAGACAUAUUUUAAGGAGUAUAAUUCAGCACUAAGGCUAUUAUUACAACGAUGGAAUCUUUGUUGUGGUAGUUAUGUCUCCAAAUGCGUCGAUCCCUAUCGGCUACUGAAGUAAACUUAUUUAUUUUUUCUAUGUCGAUUUCUAUUGGCUUACUGAUAGCUUAUUUAUUCUUUUCGAAUUUUAAUUCCUUGAUCUUUGCCUCUGCCCAUCUCCAUAUCACACAGAAGGUGCUCAGUGCAAUGCAUCAUGCAGUGAUUCCAUGAUAGGAAUUAGGAACUGCUCAUCAUUUGAAUGUUUCUACAAUUUUCCUGCUUGUUAGAACAUGUUUGAUGUACUUACACAUUAACAAAAAUGACCUGUAACAUUCAUGAAAA
Aegilops tauschii subsp. strangulata is the source of this 2673-nucleotide long non-coding RNA. RefSeq lists it as uncharacterized. NCBI's taxonomy places the organism in Eukaryota, Viridiplantae, Streptophyta, Magnoliopsida, Poales, Poaceae. The record is from RefSeq and is a predicted model, not a curated record.